GGCGGCGUGCUUAACACAUGCAAGUCGAACGAGAAAUGAUAUUACGAUCUCUUCGGAGUGACGAUUUUAUUUCGAGUGGCGGACGGGUGAGUAACGCGUGAGCAACCUGCCCUAUACCGGGGGAUACCAGUUGGAAACGACUGUUAAUACCGCAUAAGCGCACGAUAAGACAUCUUGUUGUGUGAAAAACUCCGGUGGUAUAGGAUGGGCUCGCGUAUGAUUAGCCAGUUGGCGGGGUAAAGGCCCACCAAAGCGACGAUCAUUAGCCGACCUGAGAGGGCGACCGGCCACAUUGGGACUGAGACACGGCCCAAACUCCUACGGGAGGCAGCAGUGGGGAAUAUUGCACAAUGGGCGAAAGCCUGAUGCAGCGACGCCGCGUGAGUGAGGAAGUAUUUCGGUAUGUAAAGCUCUAUCAGCAGGGAAGAAAGAAAUGACGUACCUGA
Molecule: ribosomal RNA, 446 nt
Filed under: Shuttleworthella satelles
Lineage: Bacteria; Bacillati; Bacillota; Clostridia; Lachnospirales; Lachnospiraceae
Description: bacterial SSU rRNA
Rfam family: Bacterial small subunit ribosomal RNA
Source: RNAcentral